GAGUUUGAUCCUGGCUCAGAUUGAACGCUGGCGGCAGGCCUAACACAUGCAAGUCGAGCGGUAGAGAGAAGCUUGCUUCUCUUGAGAGCGGCGGACGGGUGAGUAAUGCCUAGGAAUCUGCCUGGUAGUGGGGGAUAACGCUCGGAAACGGACGCUAAUACCGCAUACGUCCUACGGGAGAAAGCAGGGGACCUUCGGGCCUUGCGCUAUCAGAUGAGCCUAGGUCGGAUUAGCUAGUUGGUGAGGUAAUGGCUCACCAAGGCGACGAUCCGUAACUGGUCUGAGAGGAUGAUCAGUCACACUGGAACUGAGACACGGUCCAGACUCCUACGGGAGGCAGCAGUGGGGAAUAUUGGACAAUGGGCGAAAGCCUGAUCCAGCCAUGCCGCGUGUGUGAAGAAGGUCUUCGGAUUGUAAAGCACUUUAAGUUGGGAGGAAGGGCAGUAAAUUAAUACUUUGUCUGUUUUGACGUUACCGACAGAAUAAGCACCGGCUAACUACUGUGCCAGCCGACC
This 515-nucleotide ribosomal RNA is filed under the name uncultured bacterium. RNAcentral's name for it is "bacterial SSU rRNA". It matches the Rfam family "Bacterial small subunit ribosomal RNA", at positions 9 to 517 of the family's 1533-position model. The record is from RNAcentral.